GACGAACGCUGGCGGCGUGCCUAACACAUGCAAGUCGAACGGAGAUUUUAUUUAUGAAAUCUUAGUGGCGAACGGGUGAGUAACGCGUAGACAACCUGCCUUUUAGAUGGGGACAACACCGCGAAAGUGGUGCUAAUACCGAAUGUUGUAUUUUGGUCGCAUGAUUGAGAUACUAAAGAUGGCCUCUAUUUAUAAGCUAUCACUAAAAGAUGGGUCUGCGUCUGAUUAGCUAGUUGGUGAGGUAAUGGCUCACCAAGGCGACGAUCAGUAGCCGGUCUGAGAGGAUGAACGGCCACACUGGGACUGAGACACGGCCCAGACUCCUACGGGAGGCAGCAGUGGGGAAUCUUCCGCAAUGGACGAAAGUCUGACGGAGCAACGCCGCGUGAGUGAAGAAGGUUUUCGGAUCGUAAAACUCUGUUUUCAGGGACGAAUGUGCGAUGUGUAAAUAAUGCAUUGUAAUGACGGUACCUGAGUAGAAAGCCACGGCUAACUACGUGCCAGCAGCAGCCGCCG
RNAcentral lists this ribosomal RNA (516 nucleotides) under uncultured bacterium. RNAcentral describes it as "partial 16S ribosomal RNA". It matches the Rfam family "Bacterial small subunit ribosomal RNA", at positions 28 to 523 of the family's 1533-position model. The record is from RNAcentral.